RNAcentral lists this ribosomal RNA (253 nucleotides) under uncultured bacterium. RNAcentral's name for it is "partial 16S ribosomal RNA". It matches the Rfam family "Bacterial small subunit ribosomal RNA", at positions 524 to 776 of the family's 1533-position model. The record is from RNAcentral.
UACGUAGGUGGCAAGCGUUGUCCGGAUUUACUGGGCGUAAAGAGCGCGCAGGCGGUCGUUCAAGUCGCGUGUGAAAGCCCCCGGCUCAACUGGGGAGGGUCACGCGAUACUGAUCGACUCGAAGGCAGGAGAGGGUAGUGGAAUUCCCGGUGUAGUGGUGAAAUGCGUAGAUAUCGGGAGGAGCACCAGUGGCGAAGGCGACUACCUGGCCUGUUCUUGACGCUGAGGCGCGAAAGCUAGGGGAGCAAACGGG